Macadamia integrifolia is the source of this 689-nucleotide long non-coding RNA. RefSeq lists it as uncharacterized. The transcript has 4 exons. NCBI's taxonomy places the organism in Eukaryota, Viridiplantae, Streptophyta, Magnoliopsida, Proteales, Proteaceae. The record is from RefSeq and is a predicted model, not a curated record.
GACUAGUAAGUGCUUAAGCAAUUAUUACUUGGCUAGAUAAAAAUCCAACAUUUUAGUGGCCCCAAUCAGGAAGAAAAGGAUCAGCAGGAAACCUUCAAGCUUAGGAACUUAUUUGGGUUCUUAUGAUUGGUCCAGUAACUGGUUACACGCUGGAUCCUGAUUUUCCCUUUGUGAAGAUUGCUGCACCUUAUGCACAUGUUAUUGUGUUUUAAUUGAAAAACGAGAUGCUUGACUCUACCUUUCUCUGAACUAACCCAUGAAUUACUGGCCAGUUGCAUAUGUUCCCUUUAACCUUAUGCAUUUUGCCUUAAUCACAUGGCAACUUCACCAUCGCCAUUAUAUGUUUUGCUUCUAUAUUUUCUAUUGCUGGAUAUCGAGAAGUAUACAUGUCGACGCUACGAAUACUUCCAUAUAGGCGGCGGCGGCCUUCGCUGAGUGCUCUGCCGCUCGGGUUUCUGGAGCGAGAGGAGUUUGAGAGACAGCUAGCUGCAAAAUAAGCUUCUCUUCCUCAGGAACCAGCUUCAGAUGAUGAUAAUGCUGUAACUCUUCUCGUUCCGAUGCCUGAUGGUAGCCGCCGUGGCCGUCGCUUUCUCAAGUUAGACAGUCUCCAGUCUUUUUUUGACUUCAUUGAUGUGGGUGGUUCCGUUAAACCUGGUACCUACCAACUGGAUGGAGAUGGUCGCUGGUCC